Molecule: ribosomal RNA, 484 nt
Filed under: uncultured bacterium
Lineage: Bacteria
Description: partial 16S ribosomal RNA
Rfam family: Bacterial small subunit ribosomal RNA
Source: RNAcentral
AUUGAACGCUGGCGGCAUGCUUUACACAUGCAAGUCGAACGGCAGCGCGGGCUUCGGCCUGGCGGCGAGUGGCGAACGGGUGAGUAAUACAUCGGAACGUGCCCAGUAGUGGGGGAUAGCUCGGCGAAAGCCGGAUUAAUACCGCAUACGACCUGAGGGUGAAAGCGGGGGACCUUCGGACCUCGCGCUAUUGGAGCGGCCGAUGGCAGAUUAGCUAGUUGGUGGGGUAAAGGCCUACCAAGGCGACGAUCUGUAGCUGGUCUGAGAGGACGACCAGCCACACUGGGACUGAGACACGGCCCAGACUCCUACGGGAGGCAGCAGUGGGGAAUUUUGGACAAUGGGCGAAAGCCUGAUCCAGCAAUGCCGCGUGUGUGAUGAAGGCCUUCGGGUUGUAAAGCACUUUUGGCGGGAACGAAAAGGACUGUGCCAAUACCACGGUUCGAUGACGGUACCCGCAGAAUAAGCACCGGCUAACUACGUG